CUGGGAAUUCGUACUGUUCAGAUCUUUGGACAGGUUUAAUAGUUUUCGAAGUUGGGGGGCUAAGUCACACCUUGUUGUCAGAUUGCUUUCUCACACAUAUUAUUACCUGUGGAUUAUUUAAGUUCUGGUAGAAGCAACAUUUGAAUUCAGACAUGGACUAUAAUGAUCAGAGUGGUUCAGAGAUGUCCACACAAAAGGAGUCAGAUGGGUAUCCAGUACAGAUAGCAGAGGUUACAAGAGAAAAACUUAUACUAAAUGAAGAAGCCCUUGAAAUGGUCUUGACGCAACCACAGUUGGAAGAUUUGCCAGUGAUGGUUUUGUCAUGUGCUGGCAUAUUUCGCUCAGGAAGAUCAUUCUUACUCAAUUUGUUGAUCAGAUACCUCAACCAAGGUGUAAGUACUGUAUAGAACUAUUUACAAAAGUGGCACAC
This 430-nucleotide unclassified non-coding RNA is filed under the name Anneissia japonica. RNAcentral describes it as "atlastin-2-like, transcript variant X5". Lineage: Eukaryota; Metazoa; Echinodermata; Crinoidea; Comatulida; Comatulidae. The record is from RNAcentral.